ACCACCGCAUUAAUUCUUCUGACAACAACAGCCGAGUGGCUACCCCAAACUGCAUGAUAACAGUGCCUAAAACUAGUUGACUCAUCACCACUGUCAUUUUCUAUAGAGUAUUUGGCUGCUCUAACAAGGAAGGAAAGACAACGAGGAUUUUUUUUUUUUUUCAGAUUUCCACAAUCAUAAAACACAAUUGGUGACAGCAAGAUAAGACUCAAGAACUGUCAGAAAACGAAGAAACCUUUUUGCCCGUCAAGACCUGAACCCAGACAACUGUCAGUAACGGGUCUGCUACGGUCAUUUCAUCACUGGUUCACCAUCGGACCUCUAUCAAGACACCCAUGUCAACUGGAUUCCCACUGUGAAGAUGAGCAAUGCUGCAGCAGCAUCAGUUUCUACUUCUACUACUUUGUCAUUUUCCAGAUAUGAAAGCAGACGUCCCUCAAUUAUACAAGAUGGUUGUUAUAUGCAGUGCAUUUUGAGUAGAGCACCUUCACCUUGUCGUCAUGACAAGUGCCCCCUUAAACCGUAUGAAUAUAUAUAAAAUGUCAUUUGGAUCGUGCAAAAGACUCUUGUUUAUGAUAUUGUAAACAUACUGUACUUUAAUAAUAGGCUAUAUUAUUGUAUGGAUGAAAUGAAAAGUAUUUUGUCAUCUCUGCUUUGCCUAGCCCUAUUGAAUAAAACAUAUUUCUUAUAGCCCAA
Molecule: long non-coding RNA, 696 nt
Organism: Coregonus clupeaformis (lake whitefish)
Lineage: Eukaryota; Metazoa; Chordata; Actinopteri; Salmoniformes; Salmonidae
Exons: 2
Source: RefSeq, a predicted model, not a curated record